Molecule: long non-coding RNA, 400 nt
Filed under: Nicotiana benthamiana
Lineage: Eukaryota; Viridiplantae; Streptophyta; Magnoliopsida; Solanales; Solanaceae
Description: long non-coding RNA (NBEN_LNC032353)
Source: RNAcentral
AUACAUUCAGACCACUACUCAAUAUCCCAAGGUUCGAUGGAAAAAAUUAUUAAUGGUGACUGGCAUGCUUCCGAAACAGAAAUACAUCUUAUGGAUGGCGCUACAUACACGCUUGGCGAACUGGCAUGCUCCGGAAACAGAAAUACAUCUUAUGGAUGGCGCUGCAUAUACGCUUGGCGACAGUUGACAGAUUAGCUAAAUGAGGAAUUCACAUUAAUCAAUCCUGCAUUUUAUGUGGAAGAGACACUGAAGAAACUCAUGACCAUUUAUACUUUUACUGCUUAUACUCCAAAAUACUGUGGCAAGGUAUGUUACAAUGGUUGAAUUAUCAAAGAACGAUAGGCACAUGGGAAACAGAAGUCCAAUGGUUAACUGCUAAUGUUAACAGCAGAAAUCCCAG